GCCAGCGGCGAUAGCACGUUGAAGGCACCGGUUUCCAAUGGACCACUGAAGUUAAGUAACGUUGCGCUUGGUUAGUAUCCGGAUUGGUGACCAUCUGAGUGAGGAGACGGGUAGCUUGUC
This 120-nucleotide ribosomal RNA is filed under the name Diaphorina citri (Asian citrus psyllid). Lineage: Eukaryota; Metazoa; Arthropoda; Insecta; Hemiptera; Psyllidae. The record is from RNAcentral.